This 1160-nucleotide ribosomal RNA is filed under the name Enterococcus mundtii. RNAcentral's name for it is "bacterial SSU rRNA". It matches the Rfam family "Bacterial small subunit ribosomal RNA", at positions 36 to 1164 of the family's 1533-position model. The record is from RNAcentral. Lineage: Bacteria; Bacillati; Bacillota; Bacilli; Lactobacillales; Enterococcaceae.
GGGGCGGCAUGGGGCGGCUAUACAUGCAGUCGAACGCUUCUUUUCCCACCGGAGCUUGCUCCACCGGGAAAAGAGGAGUGGCGAACGGGUGAGUAACACGUGGGUAACCUGCCCAUCAGAAGGGGAUAACACUUGGAAACAGGUGCUAAUACCGUAUAACAAUCGAAACCGCAUGGUUUCGUUUUGAAAGGCGCUUUACGGUGCCGCUGAUGGAUGGACCCGCGGUGCAUUAGCUAGUUGGUGAGGUAACGGCUCACCAAGGCCACGAUGCAUAGCCGACCUGAGAGGGUGAUCGGCCACAUUGGGACUGAGACACGGCCCAAACUCCUACGGGAGGCAGCAGUAGGGAAUCUUCGGCAAUGGACGAAAGUCUGACCGAGCAACGCCGCGUGAGUGAAGAAGGUUUUCGGAUCGUAAAACUCUGUUGUUAGAGAAGAACAAGGGUGAGAGUAACUGUUCACCCCUUGACGGUAUCUAACCAGAAAGCCACGGCUAACUACGUGCCAGCAGCCGCGGUAAUACGUAGGUGGCAAGCGUUGUCCGGAUUUAUUGGGCGUAAAGCGAGCGCAGGCGGUUUCUUAAGUCUGAUGUGAAAGCCCCCGGCUCAACCGGGGAGGGUCAUUGGAAACUGGGAGACUUGAGUGCAGAAGAGGAGAGUGGAAUUCCAUGUGUAGCGGUGAAAUGCGUAGAUAUAUGGAGGAACACCAGUGGCGAAGGCGGCUCUCUGGUCUGUAACUGACGCUGAGGCUCGAAAGCGUGGGGAGCAAACAGGAUUAGAUACCCUGGUAGUCCACGCCGUAACGAUGAGUGCUAAGUGUUGGAGGGUUUCCGCCCUUCAGUGCUGCAGCUAACGCAUUAAGCACUCCGCCUGGGGAGUACGACCGCAAGGUUGAAACUCAAAGGAAUUGACGGGGGCCCGCACAAGCGGUGGAGCAUGUGGUUUAAUUCGAAGCAACGCGAAGAACCUUACCAGGUCUUGACAUCCUUUGACCACUCUAGAGGAUAGAGCUUCCCCUUCGGGGGCAAAGUGACAGUGGUGCAUGGUUGUCGUCAGCUCGUGUCGUGAAGAUGUUGGGUUAGGUCCCGCACGAGCGCACCCUUAUUGUAGUUGCCAUCAUUUAGUUGGGCACCUCUAGCAAGGACUGCCGGUGGACGAACGC